AGUGAACGCUGGCGGUAGGCCUAACACAUGCAAGUCGAACGGCAGCACAGUAAGAGCUUGCUCUUACGGGUGGCGAGUGGCGGACGGGUGAGGAAUACAUCGGAAUCUACUUUUUCGUGGGGGAUAACGUAGGGAAACUUACGCUAAUACCGCAUACGACCUACGGGUGAAAGCAGGGGAUCUUCGGACCUUGCGCGAUUGAAUGAGCCGAUGUCGGAUUAGCUAGUUGGCGGGGUAAAGGCCCACCAAGGCGACGAUCCGUAGCUGGUCUGAGGGGAUGAUCGGCCCCACUGGAACUGAGACCCGGUCCAGACUCCGACGGGAGGCAGAGGUGGGGAAUAUUGGAAAAUGGGCGCAAGCCUGAUCCAGCCAUACCGCGUGGGUGAAGAAGGCCUUCGGGUGGUAAAGCCCUUUUGUUGGGAAAGAAAAGCAGCAGGUUAAUACCCCGCUGUUCUGACGGUACCCAAAGAAUAAACACCGGCGAACUUCGU
This 491-nucleotide ribosomal RNA is filed under the name uncultured bacterium. Its description in RNAcentral is "partial 16S ribosomal RNA". It matches the Rfam family "Bacterial small subunit ribosomal RNA", at positions 29 to 506 of the family's 1533-position model. The record is from RNAcentral.